UACGUAGGUGGCAAGCGUUAUCCGGAAUUACUGGGCGUAAAGCGCACGCAGGCGGCGCAGCAAGUUCGACGUGAAAGCUCCCGGCUUAACUGGGAGAGGUCGUUGAAGACUGCUGUGCUUGAGGCAGGGAGAGGGGUGUAGAAUUCCCGGUGUAGUGGUGGAAUGCGUAGAUAUCGGGGGGAAUACCAGUGGCGAAAGCGGCACCCUAGCCUUAGCCUGACGCUCAUGUGCGAAAGCGUGGGGAGCGAACGGG
RNAcentral lists this ribosomal RNA (253 nucleotides) under uncultured bacterium. Its description in RNAcentral is "partial 16S ribosomal RNA". It matches the Rfam family "Bacterial small subunit ribosomal RNA", at positions 524 to 776 of the family's 1533-position model. The record is from RNAcentral.